Molecule: ribosomal RNA, 300 nt
Filed under: Clostridioides difficile
Lineage: Bacteria; Bacillati; Bacillota; Clostridia; Peptostreptococcales; Peptostreptococcaceae
Description: bacterial LSU rRNA
Rfam family: Bacterial large subunit ribosomal RNA
Source: RNAcentral
CGGAGCCGUAGCGAAAGCGAGUUUUAACUGAGCGUUCAGUUACUUGACGUAGACCCGAAACCGGGCGACCUACCCAUGGGCAGGAUGAAGCGAAAGUAAAAUUUCGUGGCGGUCCGAACCCACGAGCGUUGAAAAGCUCGGGGAUGACGUGUGGGUAGCGGUGAAAUUCCAAUCGAGCCCGGAGAUAGCUGGUUCUCCCCGAAAUAGCUUUAGGGCUAGCCUCAAGGUGAGAGAUACGGAGGUAGAGCACUGAAUGUCCUAGGGGGUAUUGCACCUACCGAAGACUAUCAAACUCCGAAU